CUACGGGGGGCUGCAGUUAAGAAUUUUCUGCAAUACACGGAAGUGUGACAGAGUGAAUCAGAGUGUCUGUCAAUGACAGACUUUUGCCAGAUGCAAAAAAUCUGGCGAAUAAGGACUGGGUAAGACGGGUGCCAGCCGCCGCGGUAAUACCCGCGGUCCAAGUCGCAGCCAUUAUUAUUGGGUCUAAAACAUCCGUAGCUUGUUUAGAAAGUUUCUUGUGAAAUCGGACAUCUCAAGUGCCCGGCGUGCAAGAAGUACUACUAGGCUAGAGACCGGAAGACGUAAAGAGUACAAUCAAGGUAGUAGUUAAAUAUGUUAAUCUUGGCUGGACUAAUAAUAGCGAAGGCACUUUACGAGAACGGUUCUGACAGUAAGGGAUGAAGGCUAGGGGCGCAAAACGGAUUAGAUACCCCAGUAGUC
Molecule: ribosomal RNA, 420 nt
Filed under: uncultured archaeon
Lineage: Archaea
Description: partial 16S ribosomal RNA
Rfam family: Archaeal small subunit ribosomal RNA
Source: RNAcentral